Molecule: long non-coding RNA, 10046 nt
Filed under: Varroa destructor (honeybee mite)
Lineage: Eukaryota; Metazoa; Arthropoda; Arachnida; Mesostigmata; Varroidae
Description: uncharacterized LOC111249622, transcript variant X1
Source: RNAcentral
UCAAAGUAAACUAGUAACGAUGUAGCCAAUGCUGUGCAACGCACUUUGCAGUAGCUGUCGUUCGAACAGUUCGUUGUCGAUUAACCGAUGUUUCUGCGCUUUCGAUUUUUGCUCGCAUACUGGUUAUUCUUUUUUAUCGCAGGAUAUGAUUGAUGAAGAGGGUGGCUGCCACCCCUCUUUCGCGACCAUUUCACCACCUCAAUUAUUUUCUUUUUUCAUGUGCGCCCCCGAUAAAUUCAAUGCUGAGCUACCAGUAGCACAGGCCACCCUUACCAAAGGUAGAUGUCACCAAAACAACCAAAAACAAAAUCAUGCAACACCGAUGCAUGUCAACGUGUUGCCUUUUCGGUUUUUCGGAGGCCCAGGUUUCAGUGAAGUCGUCCAACUGUCUCUUUUGCAUUGUCCCUAAAGUCCUAUUUGUGCACCUACCUUGUGCCCCCCAGGCUACACCAAAGGUUGAUUUCUGCUAUUUCAUGCCGGCGUGGGCUACUUUGGAGCAGGCCAGGCAGCAGUCACAGAACCAUUGUAUAACGGCUUGCUGCUACGAUUAUGGCUAUGUGCCGUCUUGGUUGUCCCCGCCUCCGUCGCCUUUUUUGGAUCGCCCUCACACCCUGGACUGCAGUCGAUGUUGCGGCAGAGCUGGCAGCAGUGGCACCAACGUAUUAUUCACUUUUCCACUUCUCCCGAGAGUUUCCGGCGUCGGUGUACGGUCUGGAUGUAUCUGCGUGUGUGUGCGUACGCCGUGGUAAAAUACAUUCAUUAAUUGUGUUUCUUGCCCCAUGUGUCCUACGGGGCUUGACGCGGCUUUUGUGUGGAGCCCAGACAGAGCAGAGCUGUGUUGCAAGAUUCAACUUGGGGAAGGAGGUUACAACGUUAUACAAAGGGUACAGGGAUGUGUCGGAAACAUGGAGAGAGAAGCAUAUGCAAUGCAAUGGUUGCAGCUUACAACUGUUUCCAACACUCGUGUAUUCCGUCGUAUCCUGCUAGACCUGAUGCUGGUGGAAGUACGUGCUGGCCCCUCUGUUAGUAGGAGGAUUGACGUCCUACACAAAUGGCUGCACGUCCCACUCCUGUGAACGAGUGUUUCUGCGUUUACCAGUUUCGUUCGUUGGUUCGUUCACCAAGUUUGCAAUCACGGGACGACAAUGACCGGCAAGUUGCAGCUGAGCAUCUGCAAAAGACGCACCGUGGAGACGCGUAUAGGCACAUACACUUUUGCCCAUAUACUUUUCAAUAUAACCAACAUAAAAGACGAGCUGAGAGUCUUUUGUGCACAAAACAAAGAAAAGGAGAGGACGGAGAUUUUGUUGGAUUUCAUGUCCACCAGUUUUCUUGUACUAUUCUUCUUUAGCAUUUCCUUUUAUAUACGAAAAGUUAAGCCAGUUAAUGAUCUUAUUUAACCACAACCAUCUCUCUAGUGAAAUGUCCUAUGUUUAUAAUAGUAUUUUGGUAGACUUAUAUGUAGGUACAUAAAUACCAUGUACAUCUAUAUACGUGCAUAUGAACGUGCGCCUCUGUAUACUCUUUUCGAUUCACGAUAUUACCGGACUAUAUAGUAAUAACAUUAAUUUUUCAAAGAGGACAGAAAAAUGGAUCAGUGAGGUACAAUUAGAACCAGUGCCCAUGAUGUGACCUGAAGAGUCUUCCUUGGACCGCAUAGGCCUGCCUCAGCUAGUCGGCUGGCCUGCUUGCCCAUCUUCACGUCAUCUCCCGGUCGACUCGGGAAUUGUGCCAAAGUGCUUGAUGAGAAAAUAAUCUUUCUUUUUCCAUUCUAUCCUGUCAUGGCUAGUCGGCUCCCCCUUCCCUCGCCUAUUCCCCAGACCGUCUAUUUCCAAUAUCGGCAGAAGUGCUGUCAGUGAACGGCGACAGUGUGCAGCCGUUCGCACUUCCGCAUACUCUACUGUCAUCUGCCCUUCGACAGCUUUUAAGUAGUUUCUCUUUUUUAAAUUGUCUGCUGGAAGGCGCUAAAUGGAAAAAGCGUCCUACUUUGAUUCGACGUAGACAGCGUGGGUGGUGGCCGAGGCAAAUGGCCGAGGAGGGGCGGGGGGGACAAACGAAUUGAGUCGAGGCGAAGAAAGAGACAGGCAGAAAUGUCAUAUCUAGCCUCACUCUGGCCUGUCACGCCACACACGUCCUCAAUUUAGUAACGAACCGAGAAUCAUUGCAGACCCACUUCAUCUACAUGGCUAUUUAUAGACCAAUUAGAUUGCUGAUUAUGGGACUACUGGGUGAACAUAAACAGGUGCAUUUUGCCAAUAACAAAUGUAAUAGCACUACGCUUCAUGUAUUGUUGAAAUGUUAAGCUGAUUUCCUUCAUUGCAAAAGCAAAAUACACUGACAAGCAAAUAAUAUUGAGUAAUAAAUUCCCUAUAAAAAAUUGAUUAGGGACUCAGAUAGCGAUAGUAGUUGGCGUUCCAAACGUUACCAGCAAUAGCAGCGUUUUGCAGAACAGCUUCGCUUCUUGGCCUAUUGGCAUAGAAAUAAAAUUUCAACCGAGAGACACACGUGCGGAUGAAUAGAAGACUGUACAUUAUGGACAGGAAUGAAAAAUUCAGGACAAAAUUAAAUCGUUUGGCAACUUGGCAAAUUUUAGAAUGAGCGUUAAUAACAAUGACUUACUUGGAUAUAUAUACCUCCAUAGAUACAGGAAAAAAAAAUACUGUGUUUUUUUCCUGUAUCUAUCACGCAGUAUUCGAAUCAACUUAAUCAUCAUCGUAGCAGUAGUACAGUCUUCUCUAAUCCAUGGAAAUUUGUCCGAAGUAGUAACAGCCAUAUGCCGGUAUUGUGGUCGUGCAUAAUUAAUGAAUAAUGUUUUAGGAUGACUUUACAAUAUCGUUGAAAUUUUAUUCAUCGAAACUUGAUCCAGAUCUGCGUGGUAAUCACAUAGGAGCAGAAUCCUAACUUGAAAAUAGUUAGACAUGUGCGUACAAUUAGAUCACAUGUUAAGCUUGUUGCGCUCCUUUUCCUUCCAUCGCUUGUACAGCACAACUCAUUUUUUGUCUAUAAACGAUGCAACCUAAUGUUCAACAAUGACCUUGUGAUUGCAAGAUGACUUCGUUUGUUGUUGUGCACCCCCGUGGUCGUAAUAAGCGUGCCAAUGACACCGCCAUAGAUCGCUUGCACAUCACGCACACAUUGUCGUCUCACGUUGCUUCUGUUGUAUAAGCCUGGCCAUGUCUCCGUGUUGCCCUUCUUUCGCCAUCCCCUACUUAUCAAUUUAUCCAGCGCCUUGGCGUCAAUGCAUUUGCAUAAUAUAGAUCAUGUAUAAUGCAUGCCUGAAGCAUCAGUGCCAAUAUUAGUAAUUAUGUCGGCUUGCAGAGCUGCCAUACGAGCAUGUAUAUAUACCCAUGUUUUAUACAUACACAGCAAGAACAUACACGUGCGGUAGCAGGACGCCGGUAAACUACUAAAAAUAUGUUGCAUCCCAUCAACAAAGGCGACAACGACUUCCAGGCUUGUCUUUUAGGCUUCCUGAGCUUCAUAUGGUCCUUCCUGUUAUCCUCGGUGCCGCUUAAUAGGGCUCUGUUUCAAUACUUCAGGCAAAGCAAAGAAUCCACUUACUCAAGGUAGAAGAGCCCGUUGCCAAACAGUGCAGAAGGUACUGCGCUUAUUUCAUAGGUGUUUUGUAAGUGGGGGAGGCUGUGAUGUUGCUUCACGGUUUCCGUAGUAGGUUUGUGAGGGACUCCAGAGCUCGACAACGAGCUAUGAUACAGGUUGAAAAUCCCUCAAAAGUUAAAAGGCUGUUAAACUGUUGCUUGGCAUUUUUUUAGUUAUAACCUCGUGUGGCAGUUCUUCAGAUAUUCCAGUAUCGUAAACUACCUGUAUUGCCUUGCAAAGGCUUUUCAUAUCGCGAAACCUCGUAGGUCGUCGAAAUUUUCUGCUUCAGAGUAACACCCUAUAUGUGUUAUAUUCCAUGCUGCACAACCUGGUUCUCAUAAAAAUACUGUGAUUCAUCAAAUCGGAUAAAAGUAAGUUAAUCUUUCAGGAAGAAAAACUAGCCAAGUAUAGGGCAAUUCAACGACAGCCGAAUAGAGCAAGGCCCGAUUCGUUGUAAUGUUUGUGCAUGCUAAGCUCUGUAAAGAAUGACUACAUUAUAAUGAGAAUCGCACAAACGUAAAAACAUAGCUAGAGGUGAUCAUAAACACGAGGUAUCUUAUGGCUGAAUCAACUUUUCUGUUGCCCUUGUCACUGCUCUCUUGUUGACAAUUGAAUGAUGUUCGCUUAGCGAUUAUUUCUACGAAGAUAUGGCCGCGCCUUAGAGAAGAAUUUCAAAAGGGCCGUCGGGUAUCGUCUCUGCCACGCCCUUUAUCAAGAACGUGUCCAUUUUACGUCGGACAUGAUUAUCUCUCAUGCUAUUGUCGGAGCAGAAGAACUCGACACCGCAUCAAUUUGCCAACGAGACAGUAUCCUGAAGCUCUCAUGCCAGACAAAGCAGUUUGAGAUUUAUGUGAAAAAAGAAUAUAUCUCAUUUGAAAAUAUUAUUUACACGUUUAGAAAGGAUUUGUGAUUUCAAAAUUUAUAAUGAAUUUUGAUAGCCAUGCAGUGUCGAGGUAAAAGUCUAAAUGGAUAAAAUGCCUGUUAUCGCCACUACGCCUAGGACUCAAAUAUGGUUGCAAAUGUGUCAGAAGUUUGUGAGGUAGCUAGUAGUUAUAUCGUCUGAUAGAAUUAUGGUCUUGAAGAUACGUUAGCGUGCAUAUGGUUAUCCACCGUCGUUAUCAUACUUACAGGUAUUGAGUUGAAACGUAUUCAAUACGUAUUCAAUUAAUUUUCACGCAUUUACUUAGUGAUAUAAUGCUUUCAAAUGACAACCUCAAACAAGUUGUGCGUUCUUUCCAAGUCCUGUAGUGAAAAUGUGAAUCUUGCAGUUUAGCGAGAUCGUUUGUUUGCUCACUGGAGCCACGGUGGGCUAUUAGAAGCACAACAGUAAGCUCCGCAUUGUACCUAGAGCUCUGCAACGGCGACCCUAGUAGAUACUAUCUGCUUAGAGAACGGGCUAUCCGAUGGGCGCCCGGGGAAAACCGAAUGCAGUCCAUGGUGUACUGAAGAAUGGGGGCUUAUGGUUGGGAUGGUGGUAUCCUUUAGUUGAAGCAGUUUGUCAAAACGCGCAUUUAUUGGACAUCCAUUGGACAGAAUGGGCCAUUCGCCUGACUGCCGGGCAGCAGCUUCAGGGUGGUCUCGUCAAAUGUCGUGCUUCUUCGAGCUUCAACCAGCCUCUGUACCCCCAAGAGAAUCACGCAGGCGGCGCUACCCCGGCAGUACCCUGUGUCAGUACCCGGCACGCGGCUCGACACCCGUUACAGUCGGGAAACUUUUCGGCUAUGAGAAGACGGCCUGCCGCCACCGCCAUCCGCACUGUGGCCUGCCUACACCCACACAUACACAACGUACCCUUAUGACCCGCCUCUUUCAGACUCGCACCGUAUCUGCCGCCUGAUGUCGCACUCUGGCGUUUACCGCUUACCAUCCGCCGUCCGUUUGCUUGCCAUACUCGCCAAAAGGCGCCGUGCGUCCCAUCCCGAUGGCCAAUAUCAAAAGUAGGAGCGCCAGAUGCUAGGUCGAUUUAAAGUGUCUGCAUGCCUCCCAGCACCUUACGUCAGCGUCGGCCCUAUUCGGUCCCGUACUGCCCUCUUUAGCCUUCGCCUUUUGCUUUUUACCCCAUCUGUUCCCACAGAUCUUCCCUUGACCUGACCCUGCGUGAAGUUCUCCAUCGAACGUCACAACAUCGCCUGUGUGCUGCCUCCCGUCCUGUGGUUGAGAGACCGUUCUGUACGCAUAAAAGCAAUCACUGCAAGUGGAGAGACAACGAAAGGAACAACCAAGUAACAGGAUAAGACUCCGUGGCCGUUUCUGUCCAUCUGCGUGGAUCAUUAUAGCACCAUUAUUGCUACUACUGUUCCUUACAGGAUAUGGCUAAAACAUGAAAAGGAAAACCUUUCCCUGGCACUACCUUUUAAAAAAAAUCGUUCUUUAGUUUUCUCAUGAGUUACGUUUGUGACUCAUCUCUAGUAUGCAUUGCGCUAGCCUGUGCCAGCCAAGACGAGUUCGAUGGUUCUACACAACUGUUUAAUAAAAUGUGUAUCACGAUUGUAAAACUCAAGGUGCGGCUUGUCGAAGGUAGUAAACAGGUCUUAUAAUAUUGCACGUUCUAAGUGGACAAAAAAUAGAAUGAGUGCUUGACUAGGCCUUGCUUAUUUUCAUGUAGGAAAUUCCGAAGUAUUCCAAGUAUACGGCAGAGUGUACAAGUGAAUAUUCAUUUACUUGUGCUAUCUAAAUCUGUUUGUUGUAGAAGUUCAGCACUGGCUCCUCAAGAACAAUGCCGAUUCUAGCGACGGCUGUACUAAGCAAACUAACCAGAGCAACGGGCAUUUAAGCCUAGAAAAGCUGACACCCUGAUCGUCUCUCCAAUAACCUAUGUCACGGCUAGAACACUCGUGUAAUAACAGCCACAAGAAGCGCCUUCCUGCCACAAGGCCCGAAGCCGAGUUCCGGCAAUGAAGCUCGCUUGGGUCCUGCUUGGCAGACUGUUACCUGAGACUCGAAAAAAUCCCAUAGCCGACUGGAGAAAUGGGUCUGUUCACACUUUUACUUUCCCGAAAAAUAAGCGGUUACUAUUCGACGACCCUCAGCCGCCCGCAAUUUCUUCGUAUAAUGCUAUUGCCGUCAGCGACACUCCUGAAAGCGCCGUUCGUCCUGCUGCUGCUUUCGCACUAUGGUGCCCAUCUCGGACGGCGUCGGUUGAGCUUAGUCCGGAUACGACCCGACGGAAGUUUCAUUUAAGAUUAGACUUAUUGCCUCGGUACGAGCUCUCACUAUCCUAUAACGUUUCCGGCCGGUUUUACCGUCUCACAGAGACUAACUUUUGCGAUGUUCUUAUAGCGAAACCGGGCGCAAUCGCUUGGCAGACGGGGCGCGCCGCUUGACUGAAACUAACUUCCGCCGCUACUGCUGCCGCUGCAAUGGUGUCAGCAUUAAUAGCCCCCCUCAACGUCCGACCAACGGGUCGACACCAGUGAACUCUAAUGCAAACGCUAUCGCAAACUUACUUCUGAAAUCGCUGCCUGCUACUUGACUAUAAUACACAGCGAAUAGCGAUCCCGCAGGCACUUCACGCACCCGCGUGACACAGCCAUUUUUAAGGGAAAUCGGCCGGCUUCCUUGUGUUGUGGUUACCGACACAACACCCGAUGAUUUUUCCUGCUUUGCUUUGAUGCUCUGCUUUGAUGGCAGAUGGAUGAACCAGGGCCUAGACGAAGCACUCAAGAGGACGGAGAAAACAUGAAUCGUUAAGCUCGCAAAUACGGAUAAACGAGCAUGCAUGAAACGGUGAGGUACCACAAUAAGGUUUAAGUACGUAUGUACCCCAUGGCGAAUGCACAGCCCAACUAACUGGAGAGUUGCGUAUGUACACGGGUGCGGUGGCACAUACGCACGAUCUGCACGUACAGCGAGCGUGCUGGACCAGGCUGCGUCGGCCGGUCAGUUUCGACUGGCGAUGAGUGCAGGUGUCAAGGCAAGCAGACCGGACAUUCGCAGAAGCGUGGAAAAUCAACAGAAGAACGGCAACGGAAUAUUGAUAAAUCAUCGACAACUACACCCAAUGUACAUGUACACACGUUUCCAUGAAUACGAUCGAAUACGGUCAAGGGCUAGGUCUGCUAACCAUGAACGUCUGGCUCGGACAUAGGGAACGUCUGAUUUGUAUAUUUCGUUCACGCUCGAUCGAACGCACAUGGCUGCAGUUAAACGUGUUACAUAUGCGACGUUGGAGGAUCAAUUGCUGUUAUUAGCACUAUAGUAGUUGGUCCGAUUGAAAGGCCCUGGCUCUGACUCCAGAUACGUUGGAUAAGAACGAAAAACGUGUCUAUUCGGUGUAAGAAAGAAAGUUAACUUAAGGCUCAAGUUUGAUCCCUGAAAAGUUUCCAGUGACAAUAUACUAGUGAUCAUCAUAAUAACACGAGGCAUUGUAUAUAUAUAUAUAUAUACGAGUAUUUCUUGAGGUGCAUGUAACUAUUCAAUCUUGAAGCUGGUUAGACGGUCUUCAUGUUAUUGUGGCUAUUGUCAUACGGCUUUUCAUUAUUACGCCAACAGCCUGGAUCGCCUCCAUAGAUUCUUCAGAAUUAGUCCUGCACGUUCAAUUUUCGUUAGUGUAUUAUUGCUUGGGCCCGCAUCAAAAGCAGGGUAUAGCUAUAGCGGCCAGAUUGGAAUACCUAUCGUGAGAGCGCCAUCGUCUGCGCCCAUAAUUACCUAUGGCUCUGAAUGUUCAUUGCCAGAGAUCGUUCUUGACUCAUGUCAAUGAACUUAUUCGAAGAUCCUUGUUAGUGGAUGGCACACCGGGGGCAUGUGAUUAAAGUCGAAUUAUCCGUUCAAGCACACAGCACAGAUAUAGGAACACCGAAAAAAUGAACCACUGGAUCGAUGAAUAGAAUAAAGCGUUUUCUUUUUUUUUUUUUAGGUGCUGGCUCGUAAGCCUAAACUUAUGUGUGUUUGCUUGAUACUUCUUGGCUUGGCCAGUUUUCAUUCGUUUCUCCACGAGUACACAUAUUGAUUCUAUUGAUUAUACAUUCAGCGCGUGGAUUUAUUAAUCCUGUUUAGUAUUUUAUUUUUUGAACAUGUUAAAAAUGUGAGUUUCUUUUUUAUCAAAAAAUUGUAUAAGAAUAGUAGCGAUCGUAUCAAAUUUAUAAAAUUUUGUCAAAAGUGGAUUUAACAACAAUACUGCAUUAGAAUUAUCUUCUCAAUCAGUUGUUUACCUUUAUAACGUUAACAUUUAUAGUCGAACGGUAACGAACUCGUCGGCGGGAGUAGUUGUGUUUAAACCCGUUUCGUCGAUACCGGUAAGAGUAAGCUCGCUCUUAGUUGCACGUAACAAUCUCGCCGAAGACACCUCGGUGGGUACCCGUUCAGAGGAAUCAGUUAACUUGAUUUCCGAUUCAAGACCCAGUGCCACCAUUACGCAGCUAUAGUAAUACCAAUAUUUUAAUCUGAACAGCCAGGCUAAAUGAAGCAAAGCAAAUAAAACUUUUGGUCGGUAUCAACAUAGGACACAUUUUUAGAAUAGGUGAUAAUAUAUUCAUCAUUGAACUGACAUACCGGACAAUCGUUGCUGUUUUUACCAUGUUAGCUUUAUUUUUUCUUAGAAGACAUCGUGCUGUCCUUGGAGUCGUUUUACUCAAAAGACGCAGCAAGAGCAAAUCAUUUCUCCUGACCCCAUCAUCUAUGUAUAGGGCAUAUUAACUAGGUAAUGAAUACCAUUGAUAAAAGCAAAGAAUAAUCGGCUUUUUUAGCGUCACCGUUUUUUCUCACACAAACUUUACCAACCGGUGCAUGUUAAUGAUCCACACUUUUACAAUUCACAUGGUAUAGCGAACUAAUUGAUAAAGUUACACAAAAUCGUUCGUACAUUAGUACUUCUUAAGUACAACUUCAAGCAUCUGUAUUAAAUCCUCUUAUUAAAAUCGUAUCAUAAUACUCACCACCUAAAAAUGCCGUCAUAAAUACGAGCGGGAACAGUGUCCACAGCGAAGUUAGUGGUAUCAAUACUGAUGGGUGAUGUUCCGUAGCGUCGCCAAAAAGGCUGGUAAGAUUAAAAUCAUCACCUUUCGAAUUGACAAGACUUGCCACCGUUAUCGUUGAAUCGUCCGUUUGAACAUCGCGAACGACGUCUACCGCAGACCGAACUGAUGUGGUCAUAUCUACGUGCGGGAACGUAGUUGUCGAAAUCCACUCGGUUGGAUCUACGUAUGUUGUCAUUGUUCCAUCGAAAUAGUCCACUGCGCCUGACAUUCUACAAGGGGUUGCACACGUGUUUAUCUCUGAUCACGAGCAAUGUACCUCUAUUUCGGUGCGUCAGUCAGCUAAGCCACCGCAAGAAGCUAAUUAAUGGUUAGCUGAUGGAGCGAAUAAGUCAAUACACCUAUUUUAGCCAGAGAAAGACAACAAAACACAGACACUCGAUCUAACUCGAUUACAACCACGCGACCCCGAGCACUGUCCGGAGAGACAGAAAGAAACAAAACUAACCGGUUUGUCUCUAUUGUUUUUUUGCUGCG